This 248-nucleotide ribosomal RNA is filed under the name uncultured bacterium. RNAcentral describes it as "partial 16S ribosomal RNA". It matches the Rfam family "Bacterial small subunit ribosomal RNA", at positions 1253 to 1500 of the family's 1533-position model. The record is from RNAcentral.
AAUAGUGAUAUAGAGCAAAACCCUAAAAACGGUACUCAGUUCGGAUUGAAGGCUGAAAUUCGCCUUCAUGAAGCUGGAAUUGCUAGUAAUCGUGGAUCAGCAUGCCACGGUGAAUACGUUCCCGGGUCUUGUACACACCGCCCGUCACACCAUGGGAGCUGGUAACACCCGAAGUCAGUAGUCUAACCGCAAGGAGGACGCUGCCGAAGGUGGGAUUAGCGACUGGGGUGAAGUCGUAACAAGGUAAC